CAACUGAACCACGCCGCCCACCGCCACGCAAUUAACCAGAUCUGGUGCGCUGGUUUUGAAGCCCUGGGUAGGUGCUCGAGAGUGGCAGAUAAUGCUACUCUGAACGAUGUAUAUAAAAAGAAAAAAAUAGAUGGGUAUAAAGAAAAAAAAAUUCCGCCCGCCCGCCCCAAUUCUAUUCCAAACAAACGAUGAAAAACAGAAAUAUUAUUUUAAUAGGCCUUAACUCGUUUGAGAUAAACCGAAUUCCUUUCGGGUAUUAUUGAGUUAAUACAUCCCUGCUUUUGAGUGGUUUAAUCAUUUAAGUGUUUUUGCCCGCCAAAUGUGGACACACAGCCUGGGAAUAUUUUUAUACAUUUGCUACAAAAAAUGAUGUCCUGUCUGAUCUGCUAACGCACAGCAAUUGUC
This is a non-coding RNA of Paramuricea clavata, 405 nucleotides long. The record is from the annotation of a GenBank genome assembly. Lineage: Eukaryota; Metazoa; Cnidaria; Anthozoa; Malacalcyonacea; Plexauridae.